This 220-nucleotide RNase P RNA is filed under the name Bacillota bacterium. RNAcentral's name for it is "Firmicutes bacterium (anaerobic digester metagenome) partial RNase P RNA component class A". It matches the Rfam family "Bacterial RNase P class A", at positions 129 to 367 of the family's 367-position model. From Rfam's summary of the family: Ribonuclease P (RNase P) is a ubiquitous endoribonuclease, found in archaea, bacteria and eukarya as well as chloroplasts and mitochondria. Its best characterised activity is the generation of mature 5'-ends of tRNAs by cleaving the 5'-leader elements of precursor-tRNAs. Cellular RNase Ps are ribonucleoproteins. Lineage: Bacteria; Bacillati; Bacillota. The record is from RNAcentral.
CCCAAGUUCUGGGGUAAGGCUGAAAAGGUGAGGUAAGAGCUCACCAGCAGUUAGGUGACUAACUGGCUAGGUAAACCCCACUCGGAGCAAGGUCAAAUAGGGAAGAAGAGGUUGCCCGCCUCGUUAGACUUCCGGGUUGACCGCAUGAGGCUUUAGGCAACUAAAGUCCUAGAUAGAUGAUCAUCCUCGACAGAACUCGGCUUACCGGUUCACUCAGAUG